RNAcentral lists this ribosomal RNA (253 nucleotides) under uncultured bacterium. RNAcentral's name for it is "partial 16S ribosomal RNA". It matches the Rfam family "Bacterial small subunit ribosomal RNA", at positions 524 to 776 of the family's 1533-position model. The record is from RNAcentral.
UACGAAGGGGGCAAGCGUUGUUCGGAAUUACUGGGCGUAAAGGGCGCGCAGGCGGCCGUUCGAGUCAGGCGUGAAAGCCCCGGGCUUAACCUGGGAAUUGCGCUUGGGACUGGAUGGCUUGAGUUCGGGAGAGGAGAGUGGAAUUCCCAGUGUAGAGGUGAAAUUCGUAGAUAUUGGGAAGAACACCGGUGGCGAAGGCGGCUCUCUGGACCGUGACUGACGCUGAGGCGCGAAAGCGUGGGGAGCAAACAGG